UCAGCGGACUGCUCGAGCU
This 19-nucleotide small nuclear RNA is filed under the name Arabidopsis thaliana (thale cress). RNAcentral describes it as "snRNA_19197". The record is from RNAcentral. Lineage: Eukaryota; Viridiplantae; Streptophyta; Magnoliopsida; Brassicales; Brassicaceae.